GGCAAAGAGCAAAAAGUUGGAAAGGAAGAAACUCAAGGAAGACUCCCUUUAGCUCUGACUAGAUAUUAGUGUGAACUAAAUUACAGAGCCGGUGACCAGACAUCAGGCAAUCAUUCCCUUGAACAGCAAACCCAGACAGAAGUUGAAAACUCUCAGGAAAGCUUGAAAGUUCCCAGGAUGAUGCGGACCAGGAAAAAUGUGACGAGUGCUACUGAUGAUGGGGGUAUAACUCCUCUAAAUCUCAAGAUGGCUCCCAGACUUCACAUGCACACUACAGGCAGAAAGAAGGCAGAAGGAAAGAGAUAGAACCAAAUUUGUCUUUCCCCUUUAUCAAGAGAGCAAGCAUUUUCUCAGAAAUCCCAGCAGACCUGUCACUUACAUGUCAUAUUAGAUCUUUUUCCUGUCUCAAGUCUUGUCAGUCAAUACUGCAGCAACCAGCAUCAAGCAGGUGUGACUCCAUUUAGCUUCACUGUGUAUUUGACACUUUCUGCCCGGGCAUCAUUAACUUAGCUCAUAGGGAACCUAUGGAAAUCUGCUACUCACUCAUGUACAAACUGAAACUAUGAAUAAUUAACAACCUAGGACAACACUGCUUGGCCAAUGGGGAACAGAAGCCAAUGACUAAAUUCUCCUCCUUUUCAUUUCUUGGGCAGAUGAUUUGGAGGCUUUUUCCAUGAAGUUCCUUAGAUGAUCCCAGUGUAAUGGGUUCCCAGUUGUCAACAAUGAUAUCAACUUGAAAAUUCACUAUUGCAUAGGCU
RNAcentral lists this long non-coding RNA (758 nucleotides) under Microcebus murinus (gray mouse lemur). RNAcentral's name for it is "lncRNA (ENSMICG00000048190.1)". The record is from RNAcentral. Lineage: Eukaryota; Metazoa; Chordata; Mammalia; Primates; Cheirogaleidae.